This 590-nucleotide long non-coding RNA is filed under the name Vigna radiata. Its description in RNAcentral is "long non-coding RNA (VRAD_LNC017678)". The record is from RNAcentral. Lineage: Eukaryota; Viridiplantae; Streptophyta; Magnoliopsida; Fabales; Fabaceae.
GAGGAUGUAAAUAAUAAAAAAAAAACGCAAAAUACAAAGACUUUGGUUGCAGGUGCAGCGGCUGACUUCCAGCUAAACUUGGAGAGAUGCAGCAUCACCCUUUUAUUUCCUUCUGGCUUAGAGAUCUGAAGGUUGGGAGGAGAAGUGACGCCGGGGAAGUAGGAGAGUGGCCUCUGCAGCGAAGACGUGGUGCAACGGUGUGGCUACCGGAUCUGGUCAGGCUCGCGCGAGGAGAUGAAAAGGUUGAAGGAGUAUGAUGCAGGUUCACGGUAACCGGCGACGAAGGGUUGGAGAUGAAAGAGGUGAAGGUGGAGGUAACGAUGGAGUGCAGGAGGAUAAAAAAAGAAAAAAAUAAUAAUGUGGCAGAGAGUGAAGACGUGGCAUAAGACGUGGUCUUGCCGUUUAACAAAAGUUAACGCCGUCCAUUUAUAAGGAUUAAUAGUAAGAGUUUCAAAACUAUGAGGAUAAAAAACUAUCAAAGUUUCAAGUAGGGACUAAAACCAAAAUCGUGUGAUACUUAAGGAACAAAAAUCAUAUUUAACCCUUAAUAAUAACAAGUUCACACUAAAAUAAAAAAUUAAAAUGUAAUA